Molecule: long non-coding RNA, 258 nt
Filed under: Heterocephalus glaber (naked mole-rat)
Lineage: Eukaryota; Metazoa; Chordata; Mammalia; Rodentia; Bathyergidae
Description: lncRNA (ENSHGLG00000050513.1)
Source: RNAcentral
CCAGGAUCUCAGAAAGGCACUGGUGGGAUGGCCAGGCUCCUUCAUCCAGAGACAUUACCUCCUCCAGGAGACCCCUCCUCCAGCCAGUCACCCUCAUCCUGGACCCCAGGACACACGUUGGUGAGGGGCUUCCUUCUGGUAGCACUGGCUCUGGGAGCAGCCCCCCACAGCAGGCUCCAGCGAGAGACUGACUGCCCGGGUUCGAAUGCAGGUCUGUCACCUCCAAGCUGCGUGAUCUUGGGCGCAUGACUGAACCCC